ACUCUAAGCGGUGGAUCACUCGGCUCAUGGGUCGAUGAAGAACGCAGCAAACUGUGCGUCAUCGUGUGAACUGCAGGACACAUGAACAUCGACAUUUUGAACGCAUAUCGCAGUCCAUGCUGUUAUGUACUUUAAUUAAUUUUAUAGUGCUGCUUGGACUACAUAUGGUUGAGGGUUGUAAGACUAUGCUAAUUAAGUUGCUUAUAAAUUUUUAUAAGCAUAUGGUAUAUUAUUGGAUAAAUAUAAUAAUUUUUAUUCAUAAUAUUAAAAAAUAAAUGAAAAACAUUAUCUCACAUUUGAAUGUGAAAAACGAAGAGAAAUAUUUUCUUUUUCAAUCAAAUAAUACUGAGAAAUGUCUAGCAUAAAAAAUUGAAAUAUUUUUCAUCUAGAAUUGUCUCUUAUUAAUGAUUCGGAAAUAGAAAAAUCUUGGUUAUGUUAUUAUUCUUCGUUGGUUCGUUAAAAAUGGAUAAAUAAAAACUUUGCAUACAAGAAUUAAUAAAAAUGUUAUAACGAAUUUAAUUAAAUGUUUUAUCAUUAUAUAUAAAGAAUUUAUGGCAAGAUAAAGUUAUAUACAACCUCAACUCAUAUGGGACUACCCCCUGAAUUUAAGCAUAUUAAUUAGGGGAGGAAAAGAAACUAACAAGGAUUUUCUUAGUAGCGGCGAGCGAAAAGAAAACAGUUCAGCACUAAGUCACUUUGUCUAUAUGGCAAAUGUGAGAUGCAGUGUAUGGAGCGUCAAUAUUCUAGUAUGAGAAAUUAACGAUUUAAGUCCUUCUUAAAUGAGGCCAUUUACCCAUAGAGGGUGCCAGGCCCGUAUAACGUUAAUGAUUACUAGAUGAUGUUUCCAAAGAGUCGUGUUGCUUGAUAGUGCAGCACUAAGUGGGUGGUAAACUCCAUCUAAAACUAAAUAUAACAUGAGACCGAUAGUAAACAAGUACCGUGAGGGAAAGUUGAAAAGAACUCUGAAUAGAGAGUUAAACAGUACGUGAAACUGCUUAGAGGUUAAGCCCGAUGAACCUGAAUAUCCGUUAUGGAAAAUUCAUCAUUAAAAUUGUAAUAUUUAAAUAAUAUUAUGAGAAUAGUGUGCAUUUUUUCCAUAUAAGGACAUUGUAAUCUAUUAGCAUAUACCAAAUUUAUCAUAAAAUAUAACUUAUAGUUUAUUCCAAUUAAAUUGCUUGCAUUUUAACACAGAAUAAAUGUUAUUAAUUUGAUAAAGUGCUGAUAGAUUUAUAUGAUUACAGUGCGUUAAUUUUUCGGAAUUAUAUAAUGGCAUAAUUAUCAUUGAUUUUUGUGUUUAUUAUAUGCACUUGUAUGAUUAACAAUGCGAAAGAUUCAGGAUACCUUCGGGACCCGUCUUGAAACACGGACCAAGGAGUCUAACAUAUGUGCAAGUUAUUGGGAUAUAAACCUAAUAGCGUAAUUAACUUGACUAAUAAUGGGAUUAGUUUUUUAGCUAUUUAUAGCUAAUUAACACAAUCCCGGGGCGUUCUAUAUAGUUAUGUAUAAUGUAUAUUUAUAUUAUUUAUGCCUCUAACUGGAACGUACCUUGAGCAUAUAUGCUGUGACCCGAAAGAUGGUGAACUAUACUUGAUCAGGUUGAAGUCAGGGGAAACCCUGAUGGAAGACCGAAACAGUUCUGACGUGCAAAUCGAUUGUCAGAAUUGAGUAUAGGGGCGAAAGACCAAUCGAACCAUCUAGUAGCUGGUUCCUUCCGAAGUUUCCCUCAGGAUAGCUGGUGCAUUUUAAUAUUAUAUAAAAUAAUCUUAUCUGGUAAAGCGAAUGAUUAGAGGCCUUAGGGUCGAAACGAUCUUAACCUAUUCUCAAACUUUAAAUGGGUAAGAACCUUAACUUUCUUGAUAUGAAGUUCAAGGUUAUGAUAUAAUGUGCCCAGUGGGCCACUUUUGGUAAGCAGAACUGGCGCUGUGGGAUGAACCAAACGUAAUGUUACGGUGCCCAAAUUAACAACUCAUGCAGAUACCAUGAAAGGCGUUGGUUGCUUAAAACAGCAGGACGGUGAUCAUGGAAGUCGAAAUCCGCUAAGGAGUGUGUAACAACUCACCUGCCGAAGCAACUAGCCCUUAAAAUGGAUGGCGCUUAAGUUGUAUACCUAUACAUUACCGCUAAAGUAGAUGAUUUAUAUUACUUGUGAUAUAAAUUUUGAAACUUUAGUGAGUAGGAAGGUACAAUGGUAUGCGUAGAAGUGUUUGGCGUAAGCCUGCAUGGAGCUGCCAUUGGUACAGAUCUUGGUGGUAGUAGCAAAUAAUCGAAUGAGACCUUGGAGGACUGAAGUGGAGAAGGGUUUCGUGUGAACAGUGGUUGAUCACGAGUUAGUCGGUCCUAAGUUCAAGGCGAAAGCCGAAAAUUUUCAAGUUUUUUUUUUUUUAUUUUACUUUGCUUUUAUUUAUUGAAUCUUCUUGUAUAAGAACUAACAAUAAGUUUAAAAAUCUUAACUAUAACAAGUAUUUUUUGAACAGUUGUAUUAUUUUUCCAACUGUUCUAUGUUUAAACGGCCCUAAUAAUUUAUUCGCUGGGUUGGUAGGUCCUUUCGCCGGAGACGGGAACGGCUGCUGAGCUGGAUUAGACCUCGCGCUAGGUGGUUGGGGUGCGUGUGAAGCUUGCUAUGGUAUUUUUCCUUAAGUUCCGUGAUUGCGUUGGUAACUGAUGGGAUAUUUAAGUCUCUUUGGAUGUUUUCACUCCGAACGUACCACGGUGCCCCAGUGAUGGUUCUCAGAAUCUUUGAUUGUGCUCGCUGAAUGAUGUCAAUAUUGCUGUUGCUGGCAUUGCCCCAUAACUGUGAGCC
This 2800-nucleotide ribosomal RNA is filed under the name Drosophila melanogaster (fruit fly). RNAcentral describes it as "eukaryotic LSU rRNA". The stretch from base 573 to 2800 matches the Rfam family "Eukaryotic large subunit ribosomal RNA", at positions 1 to 1843 of the family's 3401-position model. Lineage: Eukaryota; Metazoa; Arthropoda; Insecta; Diptera; Drosophilidae. The record is from RNAcentral.